UUCAAAAUAGGGGACUACAACAUACGGG
This 28-nucleotide small RNA is filed under the name Bombyx mori (domestic silkworm). RNAcentral describes it as "piRNA piR-bmo-2064268". The record is from RNAcentral. Lineage: Eukaryota; Metazoa; Arthropoda; Insecta; Lepidoptera; Bombycidae.